RNAcentral lists this ribosomal RNA (22 nucleotides) under Waireia stenopetala. RNAcentral's name for it is "partial 26S ribosomal RNA". Lineage: Eukaryota; Viridiplantae; Streptophyta; Magnoliopsida; Asparagales; Orchidaceae. The record is from RNAcentral.
GCCACCCCAGGAUGGGCGGGAU